This is a long non-coding RNA of Mustela lutreola (European mink), 3314 nucleotides long. RefSeq lists it as uncharacterized. The record is from RefSeq and is a predicted model, not a curated record. Lineage: Eukaryota; Metazoa; Chordata; Mammalia; Carnivora; Mustelidae. The transcript is spliced from 2 exons.
UGAUGGGGGGCGGAGAGGGGCAGGAACUGGGGAGGCAGGCGAAGCGCGGGCCGGGAGCGCCCUCUAGUGCCGCCCGCAAGCAUCCCCGCCAAGUCCCCAGCUCCUCGCCCGCGCGGGGCUCCGGGGGCGCGCUCGAGAACCGGGGCUAGGCCUCCCGGGAGCUGGGAGUCUUGCGGACGCCUGACCGAGACCCCGGGCGGGACGCGGGCGGGCAGACGAACGGGCCAGGCCGGCAGGUUGGGGCACUGGACAGGCAAGCAAGGGCAGCCCUGCACCCUCGCGCAGCCUGGAGCCUCCCCGCCCCUCACCUGCAGGUCCCACCUGCCCCGCGGCCCCGCCCCUCACUACCGGUCCCACCCACUCCAAGCCCCGCCCCUCACCUGCCGGUCCCACCCACUCCAGGUCCCCGCCCCUGUCCUGCUACACCUGUGCUGUCUCACCUGCGACCCCUCCCCUCCCCGGCCGGGCUCGCCUCCUCCUGCAAGCCCCGCUGCCAGUCCCUGGGUGUCUUCUGAAUCCCUGGACAGAUGGGGUCCGACCCAGACUCGAACAGGCCUCCGUGGCGUUUCAGGGAGAGAGGCGUCCACAAGCCACCGCCCUCGAAGGGUGGAGAGUUCCCCGGUUCUUGGAGCUCCAGGCCCCGUCCUUCACCUUUCCCCCUAGCUGCCGGGGUUGGCUCCUUUCCUGGACCCCGCAAUCUUAUUCCUGACCUGUCAGAUGCCGCCCACCUGUUCUGCCAGGCUGGACACCAGCUGUACACCCUGCAUCCUCCUCCCAGGCGGGUGGACGCACACACUCGGCCGCAGCUGCCAAGGUCUGCAGGGUCGCAGCCCCACACGGAGCACACUUGCAUCCGCCCGCGUGGGCCGACUCCAGUCGCCCCCACUGCAGUGCAGUGAGAGGUGUUUUAAAUCCGGACCUCAUCUGGUUGCCUUCAUCCCAGAAGAACCCCUGGCCUUUCCCCCCUUCCCUGAGCUUUUUGGGGGCACAACGAUGUCGUAUUGGAAGGGCCUGCUUUCUGGAUAUGCUGGUGCUCCUGUGGGGUCGUCAGACUUUACUGGGUGGGUACCUGGGGCAGGAGCGCUGUAGAGGGGUGGGGCACAGCAAGGGGCACAUGGCUAGCAGCCCUUGUCCCCAGUUGUUCCAGGGAAUGGUGCCCAGGCUGGAAAGCUGCAACGCUAAAUUCCAGCGUUUCUUCAGGCCCACCAGCUGGAAUUCUCCCUCAACACCUCGCGGGGAUGGAACUUCCUCCUGAGAAGACUGGGGAGUGGCUUUCUACUUUCUGAUGGGAGAGUUGGCACCAGCACCAGCCGGCUGGCCAGACAGAGGACCACUGCAGGGACGUGAUCUUUCUUUACAUCCCAUUCUCCAUGUUUCACCCUCACUCUUUCCUCGUUCUGGUCAGGAGUACCCUGUCCCCAGGACUCUAGAGCCAUCUCCUUAAGCAAACCCCCAGCACCCUCAUCAGCAUCCCCAGAACCCUGGUGUCUUUCUGUGGCCUUCUUAACUGUGGAGACAAGAAACAUGCUCCCGACCAGGCCCCUGACUCCCCUGAGGGCAUGUAGGCGCCUGCCAGGAGCAUUUUAAAGAACCUGGAUGGAGCUAUUGGCCCAGGGCCCAGGCCAGGGGGCAGGCAAGAGCGGAGAUCUACCAGUCCCCCACUCACAACUGCACCCACAGAAAUAAACCCUCCCACGCAGUUCUAAAGCGGCAUCCGAGCUCCCAAGACCUACAAGGCAGAGGAAACACAGCCAAGGCCAGCCUCAGGGACAAAUGCGAGACUAGUGAAGGUGGCCCUUGGGCAGGGUGCAGGCAAGGGUGUCAGGACUCAGCAAGGGUGGAGGGAUCCCACACAGCACCCCAUGCAGCCUGGUGCCCGUGGUGAGGCCACUGGAGACGGUGGAGGGCAUCGUUUUGUCUGUCCUGUCUGCCUGGCAGCCCUCUCAGCUCUAUACUUGGGGGUAGAGUGCAGGCAGACCUAAGCCAGCUCUCUGGGCCCUGUCCAGGCUUGGGGAGCAGCCUCUAGUGGAGGGACGGCCCCUGCAUCAUCAAGGACCCCUCAGCGGAGUGCACACCUUUGGGCACCACUGUCCCCACUCUCGGGUGUCCUCAGAGUCUUUCCCAAUGGAAUUGGGCCUUCCUGGGUGAUCCUUCAACCAGGAUCCCAGUCCUGUCUUCCCAGGUCCCACAGCGUCCGCUGAGGGCUGGGGUCAGGGGAAAGCCAGGUCAGGCAACGGCCUACUUCCCAGUCUGGACAAAGCAAGCAGUGAACAGUGGACAUGUCAUCGCGACAGUGCUUUAUUAACCCUCCUCCGGACAUCACACUGAGCACCUACCCGCCGCACGGGGGUCCAACUGGGGGCACAAUCAGACAGGACGUGAAGCCAGUGUGCAGCGGAGGCCACCCAGGCAUGGUUCCGCCAGGCAGACGUCCAUCUGGAACCUGGUCUCCCAGCAGAACAGCCAUACCCACGGGCCACGGACCACCCCCUUCCGCCGCAAAGGUAGAAGCGGACCCCCAAGUGGUCACAAAGGCAGACAUUCCAACGAUUCAGAUGGCUUCCACCUUGACUUCUGAUGUGUCACACAGUUCAAAAAUCCUACUUGGAGCUAUUAGAGGAACAUUAACUUAGCAUUUUAAUAAAAACACUAUUUCUAAAAAAAGACAUUUAUACAUAGCUGGGGGGUGGGGUGGUGGUGGUUCUCAGGUACAGCCGGCCCAGGGCCGCAUUGUGAGAACCACCGCCUGGAGGUUAUUCUUUAAAAAUUACAAAGUGCCCUUCAUCUUUUAAAAAGUCUGGAUUUCAAUAUUCCAAAAGGGAUCUAGAAGCCACACACUAUUUUCCCGAAUCCCAACUACAAGAGCGGGUGUUUAAAACGUGGAGGAUUGGGCCCGUGCUAAGAACUCCUGCUUCCUUCUCAAGGGGUGUGGACACCGCAGGCCCCUCCGGAGGUGACACAGGAAGGCCGAGGGAGCCACCCCUGCAAGCCGCACUGUGCAGAAUGGCUUUCUAGACUUACCGGUGCUGUGCCUGCACCGGGACCCAACACUCUGCUGCAGCUAACAGCUCAGGACAGGAACAUUCCCCGCAUUGAGGGGGGCCUACCGCAGGACCAUUGCCACCGGGGCCAAUGCCGGAGGGGCCCCUGGCCCUCGGCAAGCCUGGCAGCAUCAGGGCGGUGUUUGAAGCGGCAAGUGUCUCCCCUGGAAGACGCAGACAGCAGGGGGCGCAGCGAAGGGGCUGGCCAUGGUGGUGACCACACCUUGGGGCUACUCAGGACGCCAGGCAGCGAGGGUGUAAACGGGAUUUGGG